CCCAGGGCCUCCAGAGCCCCGCCCCUCUCCUCCCCCAACAGGCUGGUCCGAAGCCUCUCUGCCUCCUCCUCUCCUCUCAAGAGCCUGUUCACCUAGCCGCCCGCUUUGAUCCACUGUCGUCGUGGCGACGGCACCCUGAUCCACCUCACCUGCCCCGCAGGUGUCUGCCCAAGAUGUGGGAGGAGCCUGCAGUGGCCACACCCCUUCCACUCCUCAACUGCAGCUGCACUUUAUUUACUGUUGCUAUGCUGAUGUUUUAAGCACCAAAAGUUUGCACCCCCAUUGCAUCCGCAGUGUUUAACUACUCAUACUCACUGUCUCAUACCGACUAACUAAUACCAUCAAAGACCUAUAUUUAUCACUAUAUGUUCUCUUAUUAUAAAUAUCUGUUAUAGAUAUAGUCAGGGUGCGAUUUGUCAAAACAACAGAGGGAGGGAUGUUAUUUUUUUGUUUCUUUAUCGUUCAAAAAUAAGCCAUCAACAGGCCUAAUUCUUUGUUUAAGUUAAUGGUAGGCCCUAUUAGCCUACCUUUCAAACAGUUGAACAUUCAUCUUAAAUCUAAACUAAAAAGACAAAAAAACAAACAGAUGUGUCCUCCCAUCCCCCCCAACAAAUCGCAACCUGUAUAUAGUGGAAAACUACCAUCAAAGACCUAUAAUUAUCUGUCUGUUAUAUGUAUUGAUCAUAGUGGUAAACUACCAUCAUAGACCUAUACUUAACACUAUCUUUUACCUGUUAUGUAUUGAACGUCCAUGGCGAUAGUGGUCGGCACUAUUUUCAAACAUGGAGUCUAACUCCAUCAUAGUGGACACCUCUGAACACGAGGAUUUCUUUACAUUAACAUUCAGAGUGUUUAACAGACACUCUUAUCCAAGGAGACUUAAAAUAAACCAUUUGUCAGAAGAAGUAGAAACAACAAUAUAUCUCUGUCGGUACAGUAAGGAUGUUCAUAGAACCAAGUGCUAAGCUCUAAAAAUCACUAUGUUAACCCAUAUCCAAAAUUCUAAGUACUAAAGAUAUCUAGGAUAAGAUGCUACACAAUGCUCAGUACUAAAGAUAGCUAGGAUAAGGUCUCGGUGGAAGGUCGGAGCUCAUCCUCUCAUGAGGUCUGUGUCGUGUUUCAUAUACGACGAGGCUCAUUGCACACUCGUGCACAACAACGGUAGGCUACUAAAGAACACACCCCCCCUCCUUCCUACAACUCAUUCAAUGCAUUACUUCUGAUGCGUCCUUUAUAGAGCCGUCUGUCCGACCCACUCUAGAUCCUCUGAACUCUCACACUGUCCCAGGAGGGACCGACGCAGCUAGGCUCUACGCUUACGCCUCGUUUCCACAUACGUAUAUUUUUCGUAUCCGUGAUUCCGUAAAUUUACGGAAGGGGUCGCUAGUGUUUUACGUACGGACAUGAAUUUAUUUACGGACAGCCAAAAAGACUGGGGAUCGUAUGAUAAUGGCCGUUUUUAGGAGACCGGUACUUUGGAACAUGAGGAUCGACAUAUACAGAGAUAAAAACAAAACCAAUCAGGCUUGGAAAGAGAUCGGCGAGGAGUUUGGCCUGCCAGGUACUUACAUGUUUUUGAAAAACAUAAAAACGUUCAUACGGUAUCUCCGUAAAACGACGGCGAAAGUUAACAUUUUUGAACGUAUACUACGGACAUACCGGACAGAAAUUUUACGGAGGGGAGGAGUCUCGGAGGAAAAACGGACAUUACGGAGAAUCACAUAGGAAUGAAUGGACUUUCGGUCGGAGACGGUUGGAUCGCAUACGAGAAUGUACGUUUGUGGAAACGAGGUGCUAAGCUAACACUAGGGGAGGGUUAAAAUAAAGACAUGGCCACAUAUGGUAGCCCUUCUUCGAGUGAUACGAUUAUCGAUACACUGGCGCCAAAUAUCAAUAUAAUAUUUUUAUUUAUUUUCAUAAUUUUUUACAAAGACGAGUAACUGAAAAACUCAGUUUGGACUGUGAAAAAAUACAAGUCCAGCACUUUACCUUUUAACGGUCAUUUAGUAUUCAUAGUUAGGCAAACAUGGUGAUGCAUCGUUGUAGGAUUGUCUGACAAUAUAUUGAUAUUGCUGUAGGUCGAUAUUAUUGGUAUCGUUGGCCAUGUGUCGGGUAUCGUAUCGGGAGGUAACCUGUGGUUUCCCCCCCUACCGAACCCUGUCUCUGACCACACCAAUGCUAAUAGCUUUUACUCUGCAUAGAACAGAAGUGAGGUGGUCCACUGAAGUAUGGGUGAGCUGAGGGGACCCCCACUGGGUCUCCUGUUCCCAUGGAAACGGAAUCUAAGCUUGGCUCUCCGCCAUCUCCGUGUUGAAGGGAAAUACUUUUAAACUUGCUUGAGAGAUACGUAUUAUAUUGGAAUAAAGAAUAUGUUUUUCUCUAAACAA
This is a long non-coding RNA of Gadus morhua (Atlantic cod), 2387 nucleotides long. RefSeq lists it as uncharacterized. Lineage: Eukaryota; Metazoa; Chordata; Actinopteri; Gadiformes; Gadidae. The record is from RefSeq and is a predicted model, not a curated record. The transcript has 2 exons.